This is a non-coding RNA of Mycena latifolia, 104 nucleotides long. The record is from the annotation of a GenBank genome assembly. Lineage: Eukaryota; Fungi; Basidiomycota; Agaricomycetes; Agaricales; Mycenaceae.
GGCUGCAUAGCUCAAUGGUAGAGCAUUAGACUCUGAUAUCGAAGCUGAAAAAGUGGAUAAUGUUGCAUCGGAUGGCUGUGGGGGUUCGAUUCCCACCGCGGCCU